UGCAUACCUCAUGUUUCUUUGUGUGACUAAAUUUCACUUCAUAUAAAGAUACCUGUCAGAUUGAAUUAGGAUGGCCUAAUUCAAGUUUAAUUUCAUCUCUUAAAAGGCCCUAUCUCCAAAUAUGGGCACCCUUUUGAAGUACCGAGGAUUAGAAUCUGGGAGGACAUGGUUCAGCCAUAGUACUGGAAGCACUGGAUCUCUAUUUCUGUUGCUCCUGCCCCCAACACUUCCUUCUGAGAGGAAUUUCGAUGCCAUCAUUUUGUGAAAACCAUUCUCAAGGAUAAUAACCAUACAUAUCAUAUGAGUGUCUUACCCUCAGUACCGAAAGGACAGUAGGUGAAUAUUCAAUGCUUGCCAAAGAAAUAAUAGGGAGAGGGCUGGGGGAGGGGAGGCAGGGCUACUCAACAGGAAGAUGCUUCUGGAAGAUGAAGACAUUGUUACACAAGGUGAACUUUUGUGCCAUGACAUUUCCAUUUCACCUUGAAGCGCCAAUCAGUGUAUCUCUUUUUAAAAUUCUAUAGCUGUGUUGGAACUGACAUAGCUAUAUCACAUUUUUUUUUCUUGCAAGUGCAAAUCAAACAAACAUCAACAUUGAAUAUAAUGACAAUUCGGAUAACUCUACUUUGGCACUUACUUUUGAAUAGGCCAUCAUUCGCACACACAUAAAUCAAGUUCUAAAACCUGCCUAAGGUCACCCAAGCAGUUCAAGUCCAUCUCAUAUUAGAAAAUGCCAGAAACUGUGAAUAGAACAAUUUGAUCAGUACAAGAUAUAUACUUGUGUAAGGUGUGCUAUGUUCUGUGACAUUUGAUUGCUAAGUAGUCCACUGCCUGCCAAAAAUUCACUGGCAUUCUCUAAAAUAAAAAGAUAUAAAUAUAAGUAGAGGCAUUUAUGAAUUGGGACUAAAAACUCCUUUCAGAAUGAAGAAGUUGUCCUGGGGCAAGGUGACAGUUGUUCUGUCCUUGGGCAAAGUGACAGUUUUUCUGUCAUCAAGCUGUUGGGUAAAGCAGGUAAGUGAAAAAGUGUAUACUUGGCUAUUUACAGGGACGGUUUGCUGUCCCAGUGAAUUUUUGAAUAGAAAGUAUGAAGAUGUACUUUUUUUCCCAACUGGACUCAUUGUGCAUGAUUUAAAUAUAUAUUUUUGUGGUUUUUUUCAGUUUUCUAAUUUUAACUGAGAGAUACAUUUUUAGCCUUACUGAAAGUGAUUUUACAGAUAGAUUUUUUCUAGGUUUUUCCCAUAACUCUACCACUUUGCUCACACUUACUACUGACAAUUUCUACCUGUUUCCUGACCUCAGUGUUUAAUGUGCUGACUCUGCACAUCCAUGUAAUUCAAGUCACCAGGCCCCUGCUCUUAUUCUUUUUUUGUGGUUUUUCUGGGGGAGAGGGGCUUCCAAAAAAGUAUUUCUUGCAAAAUAUUUCCAGCUUCCUAAAUCCUAACACAGGUCAUUGGCUUUUUUUGCCUUAUUCUUUUAGAUUUUAUCUCAUUCUUUGUUCCUUCUCCAUGCAUACACUAUUAGGAGGGAUAUUUUCCCAUGUACCCACCAAUUCUCAUUAUCAUCAAAAUAACAGUUUACAUUUUUUUGAUAUUUACUAUGUAUCAAGAACUACAUACAAGGUAUGGAUUAAUUCAUAUACUCGUCACAACCACCUUAUGAGGUCAUUGCUGUUGAUUGUUAUCACCUUUUACAGUUGAAGACUUUGAAGCACAGAGAGGUUAAUUAACUUGCUUAAGGAUCCAUAGCCAAUUUGUGGUAAAAUCAGGAUAAUGGAAUAUGAAUGGAAAUGAUGUAUAACUCCAGAGAAACUUCUCUAGCAAUCUCCCAUGUGUUUUUCUUUCUCAGUCUUUCUUUGGGUGAUGAAGAUUCAGAAUAAGAAUGCAUAGCCCAAGACUUGCAUUAACCUGUUAUAGGAGUGAGAUUUUGGGGACCAAGAGAUAUUAAAAAAAAAUAAAAUGCCUUUAGCUUCAUAGCAAAAGAGCAAAACAGCUUGUUUAGUACUCACCCAAGUAAAGACUCUAGAUUUGAAAUCAUAAACCUCUUUUAUGGCAAUUGUUUUUAUAAGAAGAAAAUCUGGAGGGCAGGCUAUUUUUUAAAGUAAAUAACCAUUUUCAGAAAUUCCUAGCCACAUUUUCCUUGGGUCAUAAUAAUAGACCAGUUCUCAAAGUAGACCUACUCUAAGGUCAUCUCAGGCAAACUCCUUUAAACACACAGAUGCCACUGAGUACUAGCAGCCUCCUCCUUUCAGAGGCACAAAGGAGGGGUCCAGAGGUGAUUAAGAGAGGAAGAGCUGGAACUGUUGCGAACUGAAUUAUCUGCAUACACUGGAUCAGUUAGAACCACAAAUGCAUUGAACCAUAAAGAAGAAAGAGGAAAGGCAGGGCAAACUGAGGUCAGAUGGUAAGUAUCACAUAUGUUUGGAUUUAACUUCUAACAAGGUCUCUUGGUACUUUCAUUGCUAUACAAACUGUUUUAUAAAUUUAUUUAAUUUUCAAAAAUUUAUGUAUCACACCUAUGCAGUUUUACACAAAUGCCUAAAUGUGAUCCUUACAUAUCCUUUCAUUUUUUUCUUUUCUGAGUGACAGAACUUUUCUUUCCCUCUUUGACCCCAUUAUUUCUAUCCUACCCAAACUCUUAUCCUUCCAUUUUUCUUCAUGAUUUAAAAAUAAUAUGCAAAUACACACAUUCAUAUACAUAGAUGAAUAUAAUUAUAUGCACAUAUGACAACUUUGCAUAUAAACUCAUAUAUAUACCUAUUAUGCAUACAUAGUCAAAUAUAUGCACACAUAUACAUCUAUAAAUACAUGCAUGUGCAUUUUAUGUAUUUAUAGAUGUAUAUAUGUAUAUCCCUUCCUCUCCACAAAGUCUGCCCCUUAGGUCAUCAGUACUAAUUCCAUCACUCUCAUCCCUAUUUAAGGGGUAGCCCCACGUAACCUAAGAUCCCAGGUUUAUCUCAGUCUCUCAGCUCCACAAAACUUUAUGUAUUCUCUGCAAUUCUGUCCUCCCUCUUCCCCUGUGCUUUCUUGAACUUAAGGCUCAUCAUCAACAAAGUCCACUCUCUUUACGUCUUCUUCUUUGAUUCUUUCCUUCACCUAUAUAUUAGUUUGCUAUGGCUGCUGUAACAACCUAUUACAAACUCAGUGACUUAAAACAACAGAAAUUUACUCUCCUAAUCCUUAAGCCCAGAAAUCAAUACCACUGGGCUGAAAUUACAAGUGUUAGCAGGGCUGUGUUCCUGCAGAGGCUCUAGGGGAGAAUCUAUUCCUUACCUCUUACAGCUCCUGAUGGCUGCUGGCAUUCCUUGGCCUGUCCCCUCACUCCAAAUUUCAAAGGAAGCGUCUUCAUAUCUCUCUGAUCCCCUCCAUGCCACCUUCUCUGGGCACUUCCUCUUCUCUCCAUGUUGAAUCUCCCUCUGCCUCACUCUUAUGAGGAUACACGUGAUUGCACUUAGGUCCCAUGUGAAUAAGCCAGGAUCUUCUCCCCACCUUAAAAUCUUAACGUAAUCACAUUUAUAGAGACCUUUUUUCCAAAUUAGGUAAUACUUACAGGUUCCAGAAAUUAGGAACUGAUCCCUUUGGAGCCUAUUAUUCAGCCAGCCACAGUCAGCUUGCUCCAUCUCAAACCUGACUCUCCCCUAAGGAAACUGCUUCUUCUGCAGCACCUCAAAGAUGGCUGGGUUUUGGGUUUUUUUAAUCUCCCACAGCCCAGAAGUAAGGUAUCCUCCUUGUUCCUCAUCAACAAAAAAUGCUAACCUGGGGAGUCCCCAGCAGAAAUGAACCUGAUUAGCAUCCAUGAGGAAGUGGGUUCCAUCCCUGGCCUUACUCAGUGGGUUAAGGAUCUGUGUUGCCGUGAGAUGUGGCUAAGUCACAGACACGACUCAGAUCCAGUGUUGCUAUGGCUGUGGUGUAGCCCAGCAGCUGUAGCUCCAAUUUGAUCCCUAGCCUGGGACCUUCCAUAUGCACCAGGUGCGGCCCUUAAAAAAAAAAGGAAAAGAAAUGCCAACCUGAGAGCUCAUUCUGUCAUAAUAAACCAUCCAUUCCCCUUUGUUUAGCUGUCAUCUCCAGACCCUCAAGCUUCUCCUGAAAAUUUUAUCAUACAACCAGUUCUCACACCUCCCACGUGAUAUCUAUACCCACAUAUAUGAGUUUGUUUCUCAGUCUUUUAACCUCCUCUCUUCCAAUGAUCUUAAAACUUCAUUCCAGCUCAAUUUUUCAGUCCCAUGUUUAUCUACUAGAUCUUGUCAAUAAUUAAGAACUAUUUCCCCUUCACUAUCUUGAAUUUUAAGCACUGCACUCUCUGGCCAUUUAGUCCUGUCUUUUCAGUUCAUUCUCUUUAAUACUCAAACUCCAAAAAAGCUUUGAUCGCUCUGGGACCUAACUUGAUCCUGUGGCCUUUCAUUAUCCAUCAUCCUUUUAUGUUAUAGUCCCCUCCCUAUAGGGCCAAUCUUUGUGUCACCCUACCCUGUUUAUAUGCAACACUGCCUAAUCCAGAUAUGUACGUGGGUUGCUGAAUGUGGCUGGAGAAGGCUGUGCUCACCUUAAAUGCAUAACCUCAAUGAGAACAUUAGUGUUGACAGGAAAUCCUACUGCAUUUCUGUACUCAGUCACUCUACUGUUCUUUUGCAUGAUCAUUCCUUACUUUUUCCUCUUUCAAACUUGCAAUAUUUCUGCCAUCUUCACCCUCAGCUGAUACCUUGCAUCUGUAAAAUACAAGGAAUUAGAGGACACCUUCCACAAACCCAUAUCUCUACAUCUGCCAACACCCAGCACUGUACUAUAUAUUCUGUGGUCCUUUUUGUUAAUGAUACAGAAACUGUUAACACACCUUUCAAGACCAUUUUCUCUAUCUGUGUAGUAAAACCCAUUUCCACUUAGUUACCUUAUAGUAUCAUUGAGCAAUUAUCUCCUCAUCACAAUUCUCCUCUACCAGAUUGUUUUCAUUAACAUACAACCAUUCUGAAAUAUCUACCGUCUUAAAAUUUGAAACAAAAUAAAAUACCCCCUUCCAUCUGUGUUACUACAUCAUCUUCUCAAAUCAAAACUCUCUUGCAAGAUUUGACUGUAGUUGUCUCAUUUCUCAUUUUUCAUUCUGUCUUGAACUUUCUUUGAUCACAUUUCCAUCCUCACUACAAUAUAAAAGAUUCUUGAAAAGACGACAAAUGCAAAAAUGAUUCCCAUGUUGGUAAAGUCAAUGGCUUCAUUCUACUCUAUCCAGCAAUCACUGUUGCCACUCCUCUUCUUGAACCACUUUCUUUAUCUGGCUUCCUGGAAUCUGCUCUCUUGUUUUUCUUCCUACUGCACUUACUCAUCAUUCUUCCUCAGUCACUGUGGCUGGCUUCCCCCUAACCCCUAAGGUUUGGCCUCUGUCUGUUGGUCACUAUUCUAUACCCAAUGCAGAAAAUCAAAUACAAUGAAUAAAUAUAUAGAACAUUCUUUGUUUUGUACUAUUAAAAUAAGGCCAUAUUAUUCAAAAUUUUCCACAUAUUGUUACUUUAAUGCAAAAACACUUCAUGAAAAUAUCUCUAAGUCAAUUGCUAUAAAUCCAUUUUUCUUAAUGUCUGGAUUAUAUUCUGUGGAGUAGAAAUGUAAUAAUUUAUUAAGUCAUUCCCAUAUUAUGGACAUUUCUUUGUAUGCAUUCCCUUAUAUUUUGUUGCCUCAACCUUAAAAUGAGAAUAAUAAUAUUUCUUUAAAAAAAGUUUUUUCUGCUAUGCCUGCAGCAUGUGGAAGUUCCCAGGCCAGGGAUGAACCCACACCAGAGCCGUGACCCAAACUGCUGCAGUGACAAUGCCAGAUCCUUAACUCACUGUGCCAGAAGUGAACUCCAAUAAUAUUUCUUAUCUCACUGGAUGGUUUGAAGAUUAAAUAAAUUACAAUAACAUAUAAGAAUGCCUAGCACAGAGUAUGAUUUGACACGUAUUACCUGUGUUCUUAAUGAUAGUAGUAAAUAUUUGUUAAGUUUAGUUUCACCCUGAUACCAAAACCAAAGAUACUACCAAAAAAGACAACUGCAGGUCAAUAUCACUGAUGAAUAUGGAUGAAAAAAUCCCCAACAAAAUAUUAUCAAACUGAUUCCAACAACACAUAAAAAGGAUCAUAAACCAUAGUCAAGUCGAAUUCAUCCAGUGUCACAAGGAUGGUUCAACAUAUGCCAAUCAAUCAAUAUGAUAUAUCACAUCAACAAAAGACAAAAACCACAUGAUCAUCUUAAUAGAUACAGAAAAGCAUUUGAUAAAAUUCAACAUCCAUUCAUGAUAAAAACUCUCACCAAAGUAGGUAUAGAGGGAACAUAUCUCAACAUAAUAAAAGCCAUUAUGACAAAUCCACAUGAUGCUUGACAUAGUGUCCGUGAGAAUGCAGAUUGAUCCCUGGCCUUGCUCUAUGGGUUGAGGAUCCAGCAUUGCUGCAAGCUGUGGCACUGGUUGCAGAUGUGGCUUAUGUUUGGUGUUGAUGCAGCUUAUGUCUGGUGUUACUGUGGCUCUGGUAUAGGCUGACAGCUGCAGCUCAGACAGCUCAGAUCAAUUCAACCCUUAGCCCAGGAACUUCUGUAUGCCAUGCAUGUGGAC
This 6559-nucleotide long non-coding RNA is filed under the name Sus scrofa (pig). RNAcentral describes it as "lncRNA (ENSSSCG00000063513.1)". The record is from RNAcentral. Lineage: Eukaryota; Metazoa; Chordata; Mammalia; Artiodactyla; Suidae.